GGGCUGAAAUUGUGAAAAGAAAACUACAUCUGGACGAUUUGGGCCUCAAAAUUGAGCCCGAUAUGCAGACAACAGUCCAAGAUCACGCUUAGAGUGAUCUUUACCAAACCAUUCGUUUUGGCCUAUUCAUGGCCCAAUUCAUUAAUGAAACACACUGAUCUUCUGAAUAUACUUACAGCAAAAUACAUACGUUUGAAAGCUACAAUUAACUAUCAAUGACUGAACAUCCCUAAAUAAUCAUACAGAAUAAAUAACUAAAGAAAAAUAAAUUUAUACAAUCUUUAAUCGUAAUAGCUAAGUAAUUUGACUACUCAUUUAAAGAAAGCUCAAGAAAACGAUCCAUCCUUUGCUAAGACAACAUACUUCCUCCCUGGAGACUUGUGAUUCAAAACAUUGCUGAGAUUUGCAAGACUAGCUAUAAAGCUAACUUGCAAAUCUGCAUUUGAUCCGUUAUGGCAGCAGGCCAACAAAAGCAAAGUUAGUACCAUUACCAACCUUCAUUGGUGUCAACACACAAGGAAAAGCUUAACCAAAAUAUCCAGAUCCCUUUUUAUACUACCUUACAGGUUCCCUUAGUUAAUUUACCAACAAAAAAAAAGAACAUAAAAUGAGAAAACACUUUCAGCCUUCACAUGGAUCCUUAUAGACUACUUUAAGCAUGUUGAACUUCCACAUUCUAAUAUAAAGCUUGAAGGCAAAUUUUAAACUUAAACGUGUAGGAAGAAGAGAGGUCACAGAUGAUUAUCAACUCAUAUAACAAGAGUCACACUGACUUUUAAAUAAAGAUCUGAAUCAUAUUCAUACUAGCUUACCAAUGUUCACAUGAAAUCCAUUCCUUAAACAAUCAUUCCAUUUCAAAAAAAAAACAUUGCACAUGAAAGGAACUGGAAAGAGUACCUUGAAAGAGCAAUAACAGGAAAAAAAAACCACGUAAUAUGAAGAGAAACCCAGCAACAAUGACUCAACACAGCUGCAGGGAUCAGUGAUGAAACAACCCCAGCAAACCAGAAAUCCUUUGAAACUUUUAAGUUCUUCUAACAGUGAAAAUCCAAGAGUAAUUCCAACCAAUUUUUAGCCAAAAUGAUGCAGAAACUUUUGAGUGUUUUU
RNAcentral lists this long non-coding RNA (1107 nucleotides) under Nicotiana tabacum (common tobacco). RNAcentral describes it as "long non-coding RNA (NTAB_LNC007932)". Lineage: Eukaryota; Viridiplantae; Streptophyta; Magnoliopsida; Solanales; Solanaceae. The record is from RNAcentral.